This 282-nucleotide long non-coding RNA is filed under the name Homo sapiens (human). RNAcentral describes it as "non-protein coding lnc-ZNF33B-12:1". The record is from RNAcentral. Lineage: Eukaryota; Metazoa; Chordata; Mammalia; Primates; Hominidae.
CAUCGAAUGAAAUUGAUUGAAAUCAUCAUCAAAUGGAAUCGAAUGGCAUCAUUGAAUGGAAUCGAAUGGAAUCAUCAUCAGAUGGAAAUGAAUGGAAUCAUCACUGAAUGGAAUCGAAUGGAUUCAUUGAAUGGAAUCAGAUGGGAUCAUCGAAUGGACUUGAAUGGAAUCAUUGAAUGGACUCGAAAGGAAUCAUUAUUGAAUGGAAUUGAAUGGAAUCAUCGAAUGGUCUCGAAUGGAAUCAUUAUCAAAUGGAAUCGAAUGGAAUCACCGAAUAGAAUC